UGAAGUAGGUCCCAAGGGUAUGGCUGUUCGCCAUUUAAAGUGGUACGCGAGCUGGGUUUAGAACGUCGUGAGACAGUUCGGUCCCUAUCUGCCGUGGGCGCUGGAGAAUUGAGGGGGGCUGCUCCUAGUACGAGAGGACCGGAGUGGACGCAUCACUGGUGUUCGGGUUGUCAUGCCAAUGGCACUGCCCGGUAGCUAAAUGCGGAAGAGAUAAGUGCUGAAAGCAUCUAAGCACGAAACUUGCCCCGAGAUGAGUUCUCCCUGACUCCUUGAGAGUCCUGAAGGAACGUUGAAGACGACGACGUUGAUAGGCCGGGUGUGUAAGCGCAGCGAUGCGUUGAGCUAACCGGUACUAAUGAACCGUGAGGCUUAACCUUACAACGCCGAAG
This 389-nucleotide ribosomal RNA is filed under the name Escherichia coli. RNAcentral describes it as "partial 23S ribosomal RNA". It matches the Rfam family "Bacterial large subunit ribosomal RNA", at positions 2554 to 2925 of the family's 2925-position model. Lineage: Bacteria; Pseudomonadati; Pseudomonadota; Gammaproteobacteria; Enterobacterales; Enterobacteriaceae. The record is from RNAcentral.